AGUGAACGCUGGCGGUAGGCCUAACACAUGCAAGUCGAACGGCAGCACAGUAAGAGCUUGCUCUUACGGGUGGCGAGUGGCGGACGGGUGAGGAAUACAUCGGAAUCUACUUUUUCGUGGGGGAUAACGUAGGGAAACUUACGCUAAUACCGCAUACGACCUACGGGUGAAAGCAGGGGAUCUUCGGACCUUGCGCGAUUGAAUGAGCCGAUGUCGGAUUAGCUAGUUGGCGGGGUAAAGGCCCACCAAGGCGACGAUCCGUAGCUGGUCUGAGAGGAUGAUCAGCCACACUGGAACUGAGACACGGUCCAGACUCCUACGGGAGGCAGCAGUGGGGAAUAUUGGACACUGGGCGCAAGCCUGAUCCAGCCAUACCGCGUGGGUGAAGAAGGCCUUCGGGUUGUAAAGCCCUUUUGUUGGGAAAGAAAAGCAGCAGGUUAAUACCCCGCUGUUCUGACGGUACCCACAGAAUAAGCACCGGCUAACUUCGUG
Molecule: ribosomal RNA, 492 nt
Filed under: uncultured bacterium
Lineage: Bacteria
Description: partial 16S ribosomal RNA
Rfam family: Bacterial small subunit ribosomal RNA
Source: RNAcentral